UAUAAGAGCCAAUUACGUUUGAUUACUACAAAGCAGCUUAUUCUAGUGGUAUGUUUUGGCGAGGUUAUUCUCAUUGUGGCAGUUGACUCAGGUCAAUCACUUCAUCUAUUUAAGUAGUAUGAAUCCCGUGGACUCUGCAGGACAUUAUUUUAAAUGUGCCUUUACUAGCGAUAUAGAUAUUUUAUCUCAUGUCACGUGGCUAGGUACAAACAAUUUAUACGCUUUA
Pseudomyrmex gracilis is the source of this 226-nucleotide long non-coding RNA. RefSeq lists it as uncharacterized. Lineage: Eukaryota; Metazoa; Arthropoda; Insecta; Hymenoptera; Formicidae. The transcript has 3 exons. The record is from RefSeq and is a predicted model, not a curated record.